CCUACGGGUGGCAGCAGUGGGGAAUAUUGCACAAUGGGGGAAACCCUGAUGCAGCGACGCCGCGUGAGUGAAGAAGUAUUUCGGUAUGUAAAGCUCUAUCAGCCGGGAAGAAAAUGACGGUACCUGAGUAAGAAGCCCCGGCUAACUACGUGCCAGCAGCCGCGGUAAUACGUAGGGGGCAGGCGUUAUCCGGAUUUACUGGGUGUAAAGGGAGCGUAGACGGUGGGCCCAGUCUGGAGUGAAAUGCCGAAGCCUAACCUCGGUCCUGCCUUUGAAACUGCCGAACUAGAGUGCGCGAGGAGUAAGCGGAAUGCGUGGUGUAGCGGUGAAAUGCGUAGAUAUUAGGCGGAACACCGGUGGCGAAGGCGGCAUACCGGAGCCCGACUGACGCUGAGGCUCGAAAGCGUGGGUAUCAAACAGGAUUAGAUACCCGAGUAGUC
This 440-nucleotide ribosomal RNA is filed under the name uncultured bacterium. Its description in RNAcentral is "partial 16S ribosomal RNA". It matches the Rfam family "Bacterial small subunit ribosomal RNA", at positions 338 to 795 of the family's 1533-position model. The record is from RNAcentral.